RNAcentral lists this ribosomal RNA (253 nucleotides) under uncultured bacterium. RNAcentral's name for it is "partial 16S ribosomal RNA". It matches the Rfam family "Bacterial small subunit ribosomal RNA", at positions 524 to 776 of the family's 1533-position model. The record is from RNAcentral.
UACGGAGGGUGCGAGCGUUGUCCGGAAUCACUGGGCGUAAAGGGCGCGUAGGCGGUCUGCUAAGCGUGUGGUGAAAGCUCGGGGCUCAACCCCGAGUCUGCCAUGCGAACUGGUGGACUUGAGCACUGUAGAGGCAGGUGGAAUUCCGGGUGUAGCGGUGGAAUGCGUAGAGAUCCGGAAGAACACCAGUGGCGAAGGCGGCCUGCUGGGCAGUUGCUGACGCUAAAGCGCGACAGCGUGGGGAGCAAACAGG